This 492-nucleotide ribosomal RNA is filed under the name uncultured bacterium. Its description in RNAcentral is "partial 16S ribosomal RNA". It matches the Rfam family "Bacterial small subunit ribosomal RNA", at positions 30 to 507 of the family's 1533-position model. The record is from RNAcentral.
AUUGAACGCUGGCGGCAUGCUUUACACAUGCAAGUCGAACGGUAACAGGCCUUCGGGUGCUGACGAGUGGCGAACGGGUGAGUAAUGCAUCGGAACGUACCCAGAGGUGGGGGAUAACGCAGCGAAAGCUGUGCUAAUACCGCAUGUGAUCUGAGGAUGAAAGCGGGGGACCGAGCUGCAAUGUUUGGCCUCGCGCCUUUGUAGCGGCCGAUGUCGGAUUAGCUAGUUGGUGGGGUAAAGGCCUACCAAGGCGACGAUCCGUAGCUGGUCUGAGAGGACGACCAGCCACACUGGGACUGAGACACGGCCCAGACUCCUACGGGAGGCAGCAGUGGGGAAUUUUGGACAAUGGGCGCAAGCCUGAUCCAGCAAUGCCGCGUGCGGGAAGAAGGCCUUCGGGUUGUAAACCGCUUUUGGCAGGAACGAAACGGUGUCCGCUAAUACCGGGCGCUAAUGACGGUACCUGCAGAAUAAGCACCGGCUAACUACGUG